CCCUAGUAACGGCGAGUGAAGCGGCAACAGCUCAAAUUUGAAAGCUGGCCUUUGGCCCGCAUUGUAAUUUGCAGAGGAUGAUUCGGGUGCGAUACCUGGCUAAGUCCCUUGGAACAGGGCGUCACAGAGGGUGAUAAUCCCGUAUGUGCUAGGCCGUCUAUCCCUUGUGAAUCUCCUUCGACGAGUCGAGUUGUUUGGGAAUGCAGCUCUAAAUGGGUGGUAAAUGCCAUCUAAAGCUAAAUACCGGCCAGAGACCGAUAGCGCACAAGUAGAGUGAUCGAAAGAUGAAAAGCACUUUGAAAAGAGAGUUAAAAAGUACGUGAAAUUGUUGAAAGGGAAGCGCUCGCAACCAGACUUGCCCGGGGGAUUCAGCCGUGCUUCUGUACGGUGUACUUUCCCUCGGUCAGGCCAGCAUCAGUUCGGGCAGUCGGAUAAAGGCUCCAGGAACGUAGCACCCUUCGGGGUGUGUUAUAGCCUGGGGUGUCAUACGGCUAGCCUGGACUGAGGACCGCGCAUUGCUAGGAUGCUGGCGUAAUGGUUGCCAGCGAC
This 549-nucleotide ribosomal RNA is filed under the name Cyanodermella viridula. Its description in RNAcentral is "LSU rRNA". It matches the Rfam family "Eukaryotic large subunit ribosomal RNA", at positions 78 to 648 of the family's 3401-position model. Lineage: Eukaryota; Fungi; Ascomycota; Lecanoromycetes; Ostropales; Stictidaceae. The record is from RNAcentral.